GCGAUUCGACAUGAUCUGAUUGUUUUCUUUCUUGCUUUUAUUUUAGUUUAAUUUUUUAUUUUUAUUGAAGUAUCAUUUUUGUUGUUGUAGUUUUUUGAUUUGAUUUUUUUUGCGAUAGUUUAUUUGUACUGUGAGGGGUUGUUGUUUAUUUUUUAAAAGCUGAUUUUGUUUGUUGUACCUUGUGUAUCAGGGUUUAUUGAAUUUUAUUAUUUAUUUUUAUUUCCCGAUUUUAAAGGAGUUAAUGGUUUAUUUUAGUUACUGUUUCAUCAGUAUUAAUAAUAUUCUUUUGGUAGUGAAAUGUUAGUCGUCUUUAGUGGUUUCUGGUUUUCCAAGAAAUGAAUUUAAUUCAUGCGUCUUAUUUAUGUUUUAUCGUUUGUUUAUUUUGUUUUAUUUGGCGUUAAGAUUGGGGGGGAUUAGCUCUUUUUUUUAUUCUUAUAAUUUUUGUUUUUUCUAGUUUUGUGGGUUUUAUGGUGAUUUUCAAUUUGAUUAUGUUAAAAUUUUAUUUUUUCUUUUUUCUAUUUUCUUUUGGUUUAUUUUUUUAUUGGAAUGUUUUUUUUAUCUUGUUUUGUUUAGUAAUUAUUGUGGAAUUAGUAAAUUUUUUUUUGUGUUGUUUGUUGGGUGUUAAUUUCUUUUAAGGAAUUAGGCAAAUAUUUCAUGUCCGCCUGUUUAACAAAAACAUCUUUUCUUGUUAGUUUUUGAAGUAUGGCCUGCCCACUGAUUUUUAUUGAAGGGCCGCGGUAUUUUGACCGUGCAAAGGUAGCAUAAUCAUUAGUUCUUUAAUUGUGAUCUGGUAUGAAUGGCUUGACGAGGCAUGAGCUGUCUUAAGUUUGGGAUAGGUUUAUUGAAUUUGGUUUUUGAGUUAGAAUUCUUAAAUGUUUUUAUGGGACGAGAAGACCCUAUAGAGUUUGACAUAUAUUAUAUAGUUUUGUUUGGUUUGUUAUCUAAUUGCUUUUGUUAUUUGUUUUGUUGGGGUGAUGGGAAGAAUUUUUUUAACUCUUCUUUGUUCUGAUAUAUUUAUGUAUAUUUGUUUUGAUCCAUUUAUUUUGAUUAUAAGAUUAAAUUACCUUAGGGAUAACAGCGUUAUCUUCCUUGAGAGUUCUUAUUGGCGGGGGGGUUUGCGACCUCGAUGUUGGAUUAAGGUUAAUUUUUGGUGUAGAAGCUGAAUUGAUUAGGUCUGUUCGACCUUUAAAAUCUUACAUGAUCUGAGUUCAAACCGGCGUGAGCCAGGUUGGUUUCUAUCUAUAAUGAGUUUUUAUGUCUUAGUACGAGAGGACCGGGUAUUUGAAAUAAUUUUAUUUUUAUUGCGUUUUAUUAAUGGUGUUUGCUAUUUUGGCAGAUAAGUGCGUUAGAUUUAGAAUCUAUUAAUGUGAAUU
Molecule: ribosomal RNA, 1373 nt
Filed under: Macrotermes annandalei
Lineage: Eukaryota; Metazoa; Arthropoda; Insecta; Blattodea; Termitidae
Description: 16S ribosomal RNA
Rfam family: Archaeal large subunit ribosomal RNA (bases 879-1245)
Source: RNAcentral